Molecule: long non-coding RNA, 1327 nt
Filed under: Papio anubis (olive baboon)
Lineage: Eukaryota; Metazoa; Chordata; Mammalia; Primates; Cercopithecidae
Description: lncRNA (ENSPANG00000042792.1)
Source: RNAcentral
CUUACAUAUUUCCUCCUUCCCUUUUACAAGAUAACCCUAAGGGUUCUAAGGGUUGCAAAAGGAUGAAGGGUUGCAGAAGGAUGAAGGUCCGUCUCCUGCAAUUUUUUCAUGCUGAAUAGGGUCUAUGAUAUUCCUGCCUAACUAUUGGGGUCUCUUGUAUUUAGGGUAGAGAGGAGCUCAAUCAGAAAGCAUUAGUCCGUUAAGCAUCGGUUGUACCUCUGAGUUCCAGCAAAAGGUAAAACUCUGGCGCUCCAGCAGUUUCUCAGCUUCCUGUGUGGUUUCCUUGAUCUGUCCCCAUGGUACCUGUUAGUUCCUGCAAGUUCCUGCAAGUCUCUGUCUGUCCCUACCUAUCUCUCUUUCCUUAUCUCUAUUUCCUUAUCUCUACUUAUUUCUUAUUGUCCCUGCAGGCCUCUUCAGGUCCCUUCAGGUCUCUGUCCCUGAUAGUUCCUUUAAGUUUCUGCUAGUCUUUGCUAGUCUCUACUUUUGUAUCUCUUUAGGACACUGACCUUAUAUUGCUCUUAUAUUGCUAGUCUUUGCUAGUCUUUAUCCCUAUCUGUCCCUAUUUGUCCCUGUUCGGGCACCACUUGUGACUGACUGCCAUGGUUACUACUUGAGGCCAUCACUACAACAGUUACUACUGUUACUGCUUGAGACCAUCAUUAUGACUGAACAAAGGGAUAAACACAGAAAUGAUGACAAAAGAAACUAUUUAAAGGAAAGGCUAGCAUGGAGAAGAGGAAGAGAGCUCCCUGCUUCUAGUGAGCAAAGGCAGCCCCCCCUUGAGCUUCUACAGCCCUUCUUAUUAGGUAACAAGAGCAAGGAGGAGGAGUGAAAUCAUCAUGCCAUAUGACCCUGUUGUUUUUGAAAUCUGGGUACCAAGGAAAAAUCCAAAGAUUGGAACUAACUAGCUAAAAAUCAAACUAACUGAGAAUACUUUAGCCAUUACUUAGUAGUCAUGUUUUCUAUCACGGUGUCUUACUAAAAUCAAACGUCACUGAGCAUGGUGAUUUAUUCAUUCAUUUGCCCAAUGCAUUUAUUUAUUGAAUCAUCAAGUUUUUCUAGAGUGCAUAUGAUGGUCCUUGCAUUGUUCUAAAAAAUGGGAUCUAUAGGGCAGUUUUUCUGACUUUCAAAACCUACAUUUCACUAGGAUGAAUAAGUGAUAUACAGAAAAAAUUAAUCAAAUAUAUUAUGAUACAUAUACAUAAUGACACAUAUACAAGCAUAUAUUAAAGUGCAAAGAUAAUUCCUUUUUAUAAUGUAAUGCUUGAGUUGAUUCCUUUACAAAAACAUGGACCUGAAAAUGCAUCAAGUUAAACGAUAGUUUUUG